This 72-nucleotide transfer RNA is filed under the name Capra hircus (goat). It matches the Rfam family "tRNA". Rfam says of the family: Transfer RNA (tRNA) molecules are approximately 80 nucleotides in length. Their secondary structure includes four short double-helical elements and three loops (D, anti-codon, and T loops). The record is from Rfam by way of RNAcentral. RNAcentral also lists the same sequence under 1 other name. Lineage: Eukaryota; Metazoa; Chordata; Mammalia; Artiodactyla; Bovidae.
UCCCUGGUAGUCUAGUGGUUAAGAAUUGGUACUUACACUGCCAGGGACCAGGUUCAAUCCUUGGUUGGUGAA